CUGGGAAUUUUGGGGAAUUUCUGCAUGGGCGAAAGCCUGACAGAGCAAUACCGCGUGAGGGAUGACAGUCCUAUGGAUUGUAAACCUCUUUUUUCAGGGAGGAAGUUCUGACGUUACCUGAAGAAUAAGCAUCGGCUAACUCCGUGCCAGCAGCCGCGGUAAUAACCC
Molecule: ribosomal RNA, 168 nt
Filed under: Heterosigma akashiwo
Lineage: Eukaryota; Raphidophyceae; Chattonellales; Chattonellaceae
Description: partial 16S ribosomal RNA
Rfam family: Bacterial small subunit ribosomal RNA
Source: RNAcentral